This is a long non-coding RNA of Gambusia affinis (western mosquitofish), 1043 nucleotides long. RefSeq lists it as uncharacterized. The transcript has 4 exons. The record is from RefSeq and is a predicted model, not a curated record. NCBI's taxonomy places the organism in Eukaryota, Metazoa, Chordata, Actinopteri, Cyprinodontiformes, Poeciliidae.
CGCCGCAGAAACUACUAACCAGCGUUGUUUUCUCUCCCCGGUUCUGGAUGGCAGGGAUGAGACGCAGAAACAGCGGUCCAACAAGACGAUACAGGAUGAGCCAGAGAGGGACAGCCACGUCAGCCAAUCAGAAGUGAGCGCCUGAAGGAGGAGAGGAGAAGAGCCGCGAUGGGAGUAACCCAAAACCAUCCCAGCGAACCUCCCUGCGCUUCUGAAAAAGGAAACUCACAGCAGCAAAGGUCCAACUCGUGAUGUGAUGAAUCACCACGGCGAUGAUUCACUUUACAGAAAUAAGAAAAGUCAAUGUGGGAGCAGUUGGAGCCAGAGGCGAUCAAUAACGCCGCUCCGAAACAUGUCAGCCGCUGAUUGGCUGGAGCUGUUUGAAGUCCAGGCCUGCUGAGCAGAUCUUAAGUAACAUCUUGUCUUUGAUUCAUUAUUCAUCUAAUCCAUGAGAGGAAACGUAUCGACAAAAUCUCUGGGUCAAAUGACGCCCCGGGUCAGGCUGCUCCAGAAGCACCUGUAGCUUAAUUUGGGAAAUAUCAUAAAAACAACCAGAUUAAUGAUGCUGUUGAAAUGGCUCCAGUGACAUUCCUGUCUCACAAACUUUGCUGAAUCAUAUUUUUUAUGACUCUAAGGAAGGUUUUGUUUUUCAUGUUGUAAAACAUUUUCAGGUGAUUUGGCUUGAAAAUGAAACCCCAACCUCAUAACUGUAAAACGUUACUCUCAGAGUAAAACUGGAUCGCUUGAAUUUGUGCUGUCUGACCUUCAACACGUCAAAACAAUAAGUGGCGUAACAAUUUAAUUUUCUGAGGGUCAAGGUUUUCUGUGAGAGACUGUAUAACAUAUCAGCUUCACUUUCGGAAAUAAAAUAUUGAACUCUUUCAUGAUAUUUUGAUUUUCGAGAUGCAUUUGCACUGUUCCAGCUGUAAACCAGGGAUUUACCAAUAUAUUCACCUUGUAGUAAAUAAUCUACCAUGAAAUUUUAAAGCCCUUCAUGUUCAGCUGACAGGAUGUAUACAGAGGCUGAUUUAAUUUUCCAACCA